This 465-nucleotide ribosomal RNA is filed under the name uncultured bacterium. RNAcentral describes it as "partial 16S ribosomal RNA". It matches the Rfam family "Bacterial small subunit ribosomal RNA", at positions 28 to 507 of the family's 1533-position model. The record is from RNAcentral.
GACGAACGCUGGCGGCGUGCUUAACACAUGCAAGUCGAACGGAAAGGCCCUGCUUGCAGGGUACUCGAGUGGCGAACGGGUGAGUAACACGUGGGUGAUCUGCCCUGCACUUCGGGAUAAGCCUGGGAAACUGGGUCUAAUACCGGAUAGGGGCCAUUUUUAGUGUGAUGGUUGGAAAGUUUUUUCGGUGUAGGAUGAGCUCGCGGCCUAUCAGCUUGUUGGUGGGGUAAUGGCCUACCAAGGCGGCGACGGGUAGCCGGCCUGAGAGGGUGGACGGCCACAUUGGGACUGAGAUACGGCCCAGACUCCUACGGGAGGCAGCAGUGGGGAAUAUUGCACAAUGGGCGCAAGCCUGAUGCAGCGACGCCGCGUGGGGGAUGACGGCCUUCGGGUUGUAAACGCCUUUCGCUAGGGACGAAGCUUUUUGUGACGGUACCUAGAUAAGAAGCACCGGCUAACUACGUG